UCUGUGAAAUGGGAUGCAACACAAGUU
RNAcentral lists this non-coding RNA (27 nucleotides) under Homo sapiens (human). Lineage: Eukaryota; Metazoa; Chordata; Mammalia; Primates; Hominidae. The record is from RNAcentral.